AUGCAGCAGCCUGCAAAUUCACCUGAUAUGAAUGCCCUGGAUCUUUGCUUCUUCAGCUCAAUUCAGUCCUUGACACUUGAAAGUGCACCAAACAACAUCAAGGAACUGAUAGAAUCAGUUGAAGAAGCAUAUGAUAAGUAUGAAGUGCACAAACUAGCGAGAGUGUUUAUAACCCUACAGUUAGUCCUGAUUGAGGUUAUGAGGGUUGAGGGAGGUACAGGAUACAAGAUCCCGCACAUGAACAAAGAUAGGCUGGAGAGGGAGGGGAUGCUACAUAUCAAUCUAAGAUUCGAUGCUGAACUAUAUUGGAAAACCUUGGACAUUAUAGAGGGUCACUGA
Molecule: ribosomal RNA, 339 nt
Filed under: Triticum aestivum (bread wheat)
Lineage: Eukaryota; Viridiplantae; Streptophyta; Magnoliopsida; Poales; Poaceae
Description: partial small subunit ribosomal RNA
Source: RNAcentral